CACAUCUCCGUGCCCGUGAGAAAAGAAAGAGAAAAAUCCCUGGCUCUCCAGUUUCCCGAGCAAACGCAUUUCUUUGAACCGCCGCCUUGCACUGUCAAGAAUUCCCAGGACAUGGGAAGACUCCACGCCUUUCUGAAGGUGGUCAUUUGACGCAGUGACACAGUGAAAGUCACCGAAGGGACAGGCACAGAUGAAGAAGCUGAGGCAAGAAAAGGAAAGUAGCUUGUCCAAGUUCAUACAAUUAAUAAAUGGCAGCAACAAGAUUUGAACCCAGGAAAUACUACUUCCGAGACUCUGUAACUUGCCACUCAAAGACUGUCAGGACUGAUGUCAAUUGUUAUCCCGAUCAAUGUGGGAAGAAAUAGACACUGCUGAAAGAAAAGACAGAAAUGCCUGUGGAGGUAUGUAGUAUUUCUGAAUAUCAGGAUUGUAAACACUGAAUUCUAAACUCAAAAUUAAAUUCCAAAACAUGAUGCCAUAAAAGGUUCAAUUGGAGUCUGAAAACCA
Eptesicus fuscus (big brown bat) is the source of this 507-nucleotide long non-coding RNA. RefSeq lists it as uncharacterized. The record is from RefSeq and is a predicted model, not a curated record. Lineage: Eukaryota; Metazoa; Chordata; Mammalia; Chiroptera; Vespertilionidae. The transcript is spliced from 3 exons.